CAAGGGUAGAACAACAGGGAUUGCCCUAGUAACGGCGAGUGAAGCGGCAACAGCUCAAAUUUGAAAUCUGGCUCUCGGGCCCGAGUUGUAAUUUGUAGAGGAUACUUUUGAUGCGGUGCCUUCCGAGUUCCCUGGAACGGGACGCCAUAGAGGGUGAGAGCCCCGUCUGGUUGGAUGCCAAAUCUCUGUAAAGUUCCUUCGACGAGUCGAGUAGUUUGGGAAUGCUGCUCUAAAUGGGAGGUAUAUGUCUUCUAAAGCUAAAUACCGGCCAGAGACCGAUAGCGCACAAGUAGAGUGAUCGAAAGAUGAAAAGCACUUUGAAAAGAGAGUUAAAAAGUACGUGAAAUUGUUGAAAGGGAAGCGUUUAUGACCAGACUUGGGCUUGGUUAAUCAUCUGGGGUUCUCCCCAGUGCACUUUUCCAGUCCAGGCCAGCAUCAGUUUUCCCCGGGGGAUAAAGACUUCGGGAAUGUGGCUCUCUUCGGGGAGUGUUAUAGCCCGUUGUGUAAUACCCUGGGGGGGACUGAGGUUCGCGCAUCUGCAAGGAUGCUGGCGUAAUGGUCAUCAACGACCCGUCUUGAAACACGGACCAAGGAGUCGUCUUCGUAUGCGAGUGUUCGGGUGUCAAACCCCUACGCGUAAUGAAAGUGAACGCAGGUGAGAGCUUCGGCGCAUCAUCGACCGAUCCUGAUGUUCUCGGAUGGAUUUGAGUAAGAGCAUACGGGGCCGGACCCGAAAGAAGGUGAACUAUGCCUGUAUAGGGUGAAGCCAGAGGAAACUCUGGUGGAGGCUCGCAGCGGUUCUGACGUGCAAAUCGAUCGUCAAAUAUGGGCAUGGGGGCGAAAGACUAAUCGAACCUUCUAGUAGCUGGUUUCCGCCGAGUCCCCCCCUCAGAUAAAAGAAG
RNAcentral lists this ribosomal RNA (902 nucleotides) under Fusarium fujikuroi. RNAcentral's name for it is "partial large subunit ribosomal RNA". It matches the Rfam family "Eukaryotic large subunit ribosomal RNA", at positions 47 to 987 of the family's 3401-position model. The record is from RNAcentral. Lineage: Eukaryota; Fungi; Ascomycota; Sordariomycetes; Hypocreales; Nectriaceae.